UACGUAGGGUGCAAGCGUUGUCCGGAAUUAUUGGGCGUAAAGAGCUCGUAGGCGGUUUGUCGCGCCUGCUGUGAAAACCCGAGGCUCAACCUCGGGCCUGCAGUGGGUACGGGCAGACUAGGGUGCGGUAGGGGAGAUUGGAAUUCCUGGUGUAGCGGUGGAAUGCGCAGAUAUCAGGAGGAACACCAAUGGCGAAGGCAGAUCUCUGGGCCGUAACUGACGCUGAGGAGCGAAAGCAUGGGGAGCGAACAGG
This 253-nucleotide ribosomal RNA is filed under the name uncultured bacterium. RNAcentral describes it as "partial 16S ribosomal RNA". It matches the Rfam family "Bacterial small subunit ribosomal RNA", at positions 524 to 776 of the family's 1533-position model. The record is from RNAcentral.